Molecule: unclassified non-coding RNA, 882 nt
Filed under: Hevea brasiliensis (rubber tree)
Lineage: Eukaryota; Viridiplantae; Streptophyta; Magnoliopsida; Malpighiales; Euphorbiaceae
Source: RNAcentral
ACCAAAUAAACGGGUAUGUUAUGGAUCUUAGAGGAUGGCUGCUAUUUUAUCUUCUCAUUUCAUGCCUUCUUGUACACAAGCUAGAUGAUUUUGUUAAACAGUGGGUUAUUGCACCCACUUUUCUUACCACUGCUGUGGAAGCUUGUUGAGCUUGUACAUAGUUUACUGUAAAAUGAACAAUUUAAUUUCUAAUUAUUGGGCAGUGUAACUUGCUCAACUGUGUCUAUGCUUGUGUAAGAAUGCUGCUUUUGCCCUUUACCAAUCUUUAGAUGUGUGUUGGGCAGAAUAAGGCAUCAUAACUAUAUGUUGCUCCAUUUUAUUUUUGUUAAGCGAGUUUUUUUGCCUGGCAUUUCUAGGAGAUUCACCUGUAACUAAUUGUAGCCUUGAUAAUAUUUGUUAAAAAAAAUGUGCUUGAAUUGAUAGAAUUUGUAAUUUCUUUUAAAUCAAGUUGACCACAUUAAAAACCAGAAAUAUGAAAUGAACGUGAUGGAUUUUAUCCAUACCUAUAUUUGUUCUAGGAUGUGUUUUCUGUGUAAUUAUUGUUGGUAAAUAAUAGUUGUCCAUAUCUCUGAUUGGAAAGAGGUAGAUGUACAGGGUGGUAAAUAUUUGUGUUUAGUUACCUUUGUCUAUUCUUUUUUAUCUUCGUUGUCUCGUUAUAUCUUUGCACCAUAACUUUGCAGGGUUACUGGGCAGAGCUUCAGCCGAUUGUAUUUGAUGAAGGCUUUGCAGGAAAGUUGACGUUUUUAGCUGGAAUGUGUUCAUUCUUUGGAAGAGGAUGCCUUUGCUGUUUGAAAUUGACAAAUUUUGGAGCGCGAGAGCUAUGCUUGGAUUAUUGUCAACCUUUUUGAAAGUGACUGUAGAAUGUUAGCCUAGCAUUGUUAU